UGAAGAGUUUGAUCAUGGCUCAGAUUGAACGCUGGCGGCAGGCCUAACACAUGCAAGUCGAACGGUAACAGGAAGCAGCUUGCUGCUUUGCUGACGAGUGGCGGACGGGUGAGUAAUGUCUGGGAAACUGCCUGAUGGAGGGGGAUAACUACUGGAAACGGUGGCUAAUACCGCAUAACGUCGCAAGACCAAAGAGGGGGACCUUCGGGCCUCUUGCCAUCAGAUGUGCCCAGAUGGGAUUAGCUUGUUGGUGAGGUAACGGCUCACCAAGGCGACGAUCCCUAGCUGGUCUGAGAGGAUGACCAGCCACACUGGAACUGAGACACGGUCCAGACUCCUACGGGAGGCAGCAGUGGGGAAUAUUGCACAAUGGGCGCAAGCCUGAUGCAGCCAUGCCGCGUGUAUGAAGAAGGCCUUCGGGUUGUAAAGUACUUUCAGCGGGGAGGAAGGUGUUGUGGUUAAUAACCGCAGCAAUUGACGUUACCCGCAGAAGAAGCACCGGCUAACUCCGUGCCAGCAGCCGCGGUAAUACGGAGGGUGCAAGCGUUAAUCGGAAUUACUGGGCGUAAAGCGCACGCAGGCGGUCUGUCAAGUCGGAUGUGAAAUCCCCGGGCUCAACCUGGGAACUGCAUUCGAAACUGGCAGGCUUGAGUCUUGUAGAGGGGGGUAGAAUUCCAGGUGUAGCGGUGAAAUGCGUA
RNAcentral lists this ribosomal RNA (698 nucleotides) under Salmonella enterica. Its description in RNAcentral is "bacterial SSU rRNA". It matches the Rfam family "Bacterial small subunit ribosomal RNA", at positions 1 to 692 of the family's 1533-position model. Lineage: Bacteria; Pseudomonadati; Pseudomonadota; Gammaproteobacteria; Enterobacterales; Enterobacteriaceae. The record is from RNAcentral.